GUUGUCUUAGCUCAGUUGGUUGAGUGCUUGGCUUUUGAUUAAGUGGUUGCGGGUUUGAUUCCCAUUGACUACA
Molecule: transfer RNA, 73 nt
Filed under: Theobroma cacao (cacao)
Lineage: Eukaryota; Viridiplantae; Streptophyta; Magnoliopsida; Malvales; Malvaceae
Rfam family: tRNA
About the family: Transfer RNA (tRNA) molecules are approximately 80 nucleotides in length. Their secondary structure includes four short double-helical elements and three loops (D, anti-codon, and T loops).
Source: Rfam by way of RNAcentral